Molecule: long non-coding RNA, 1248 nt
Filed under: Felis catus (domestic cat)
Lineage: Eukaryota; Metazoa; Chordata; Mammalia; Carnivora; Felidae
Description: lncRNA (ENSFCAG00000041927.2)
Source: RNAcentral
UUUCUCUCUGUGCUGGCAGUAGUUAUCAGCCGCACCACCGAGUGAUUUUAUUUAUAUAUUUUAUUUCCCCUUUUUUUUUGGAAAACCAGUGAAAGUCACCUCAUAAUUUAGAAUAUUAAAGGAUCCGCCAGUUCUAGUCGGCCUUGGGAUCCUAAGGGAAGCUAAGUGCUUAGAAAACCCUCCUCCUACUGCUCAGACACCCUCCACACUCUGAAAUUACCCCAACCGGCUCAUAAUUGGGACCAGCUGGCAGGAUGAGAGAGGAGGCCCCUGCCCCGAGCCAGGAAUCGCGUUGCAAAUUUCAUCCCUAGAAAGAAGCUUGACUUGCUCCUUUAAGGGUUAAGAGGUAGGAGGUCAAAGGCACAGCGCUCAGGAGCUGGGAUUUAAAUUGGCUACAGGGAACCUGAAAACAAAGGGCGUUCACAUUAGCAACCGUGGCUCCCUUGCUUUGUCUAGGACCAAGUGUAUGCGAAAUAGCCCAGGCGACCCUGCCGGGCUACGGCCUCCGCCGAAUUUCACUUUACAGCCUGUCUUUCCAGAACUGGCAUCGUUAAUUUGUAUGCUGCCCGAAAGCUGUCCUUUUCCCAAAGCCCUCCUCACAAAGCAGAUGCAGACCUCCAGAAGUGCACCGGAAAUAGGAGUCAAUUUCAAGUGUCAGAAACCAAGACCCCUGACUGGUUCGGCAUCUGUCCCUGCAAGACUUAGAAAACCAACCCUGUGCUUAAGAGGGAGAAGUAGAGAUGAAAGAUGAAAGACGGAGCAGCGGAAUCAAGAGAAGGAAUUAGCAGAACAGGACAAUGUGGUUUCAAUGGUUUUCUGCGACUGUUUCAGGAACAACAGUUCCUUGAUUUGGACUUGCUCCUGGAGAGAAAUGAAGGUGUGAGCGUUUACUUCAUACAUUUAUCAAAUGUGCUGCAUGCUUGGGAGCGCACAGAUACAUGGGCACGCGUAUGCCUACUGUGAUAUGAUAAAUAUAUGCAUGAGGGAAAUGGGGCUCCGGCUCGUUGUAUAGGUGGGGAGAUUUUAUGGAACAAGCCUAUUUAAUAUGUCAAAGGGAAAACAUUACUUAUGACGCCCUAUUAGCACAUCAUUCGUCUUACUGGGAAGACAGAAUGAAGAAUAUUUAACAAUUAAUAGAAAUCAUAGGAAGAAUUAUGAUUAAGUGCCAUCUGCUGGCUUCUGUGGGUUUUAUUUUUAUGCAGCGUUGAGCCUGUCCUCAUAAUUAUCGAACGUCUCUCUUGCGCUGAG